Molecule: ribosomal RNA, 497 nt
Filed under: uncultured bacterium
Lineage: Bacteria
Description: partial 16S ribosomal RNA
Rfam family: Bacterial small subunit ribosomal RNA
Source: RNAcentral
GAUGAACGCUGGCGGCGUGCCUAAUACAUGCAAGUCGAACGAACAGACGCGGAGCUUGCUCCUCUGACGUUAGCGGCGGACGGGUGAGAAACACGUGGAAACCCUCCCUAUCAGACUGGGAACACUUCGGGACACCGGCGCUAAUACCGUAUAAUAUCCUGCACCGCAUGGUGCAAUAGUGAAAGUCGGCUUUUCUGUCUCUACUCGCUGCUUCCGCGCCGGUUUAGCUGGUUGGUAAGGUAACGGCUUAUCAAGGCGAGGAUGCGUAGCCGGCAUGCUGGGGGGAUAGGCCACACUGGAACGGAGACACGGUCCAGACUCCUACGGGAGGCAGCAGUAGGGAAUCGUGCGCAAUGGGCGGAAGCCUGACGGAGCAGGGCGGCGUGAGUGAUGAAGGUCUUCGGAUCGUAAAACUCUGUUAUUGGGGAAGAACAAAUUUGUAAGUAACUAUGCACGUCUUGACGGUAACUAAUCAGAAAGCCACGGCUAACUACGUG